RNAcentral lists this ribosomal RNA (507 nucleotides) under uncultured bacterium. RNAcentral describes it as "partial 16S ribosomal RNA". It matches the Rfam family "Bacterial small subunit ribosomal RNA", at positions 28 to 507 of the family's 1533-position model. The record is from RNAcentral.
GACGAACGCUGGCGGCGUGCCUAAUACAUGCAAGUCGAACGCAUUUUCUUUCACCGUAGCUUGCUACACCGAAAGAAAAUGAGUGGCGAACGGGUGAGUAACACGUGGGUAACCUGCCCAUCAGCGGGGGAUAACACUUGGAAACAGGUGCUAAUACCGCAUAAUUCCAUUUACUGCAUGGUAGAUGGAUGAAAGGCGCUUUUGCGUCACUGAUGGAUGGACCCGCGGUGCAUUAGCUAGUUGGUGGGGUAGCGGCCUACCAAGGCUGCGAUGCAUAGCCGACCUGAGAGGGUGAUCGGCCACACUGGGACUGAGACACGGCCCAGACUCCUACGGGAGGCAGCAGUAGGGAAUCUUCGGCAAUGGACGCAAGUCUGACCGAGCAACGCCGCGUGAGUGAAGAAGGUUUUCGGAUCGUAAAACUCUGUUGUUAGAAAAGAACAAGGAUGAGAGUGGAAAGUUCAUCCCUUGACGGUAUCUAACCAGAAAGCCACGGCUAACUACGUG